UCAAAAACCGGUACCCAGUUCGGAUUGUAGGCUGCAACUCGCCUACAUGAAGUCGGAGUUGCUAGUAAUCGCGGAUCAGAAUGCCGCGGUGAAUGCGUUCCCGGGUCUUGUACACACCGCCCGUCACACCAUGGAAGUUGGGGCGCCCGAAGUUGCCUAAGAAAUAAGGUACCUAAGGCGAAACCAAUGACUGGGGUGAAGUCGUAACAAGGUAAC
Molecule: ribosomal RNA, 216 nt
Filed under: uncultured bacterium
Lineage: Bacteria
Description: partial 16S ribosomal RNA
Rfam family: Bacterial small subunit ribosomal RNA
Source: RNAcentral